RNAcentral lists this ribosomal RNA (497 nucleotides) under uncultured bacterium. RNAcentral's name for it is "partial 16S ribosomal RNA". It matches the Rfam family "Bacterial small subunit ribosomal RNA", at positions 28 to 507 of the family's 1533-position model. The record is from RNAcentral.
GAUGAACGCUGGCGGCGUGCCUAAUACAUGCCAGUCGAGCGAGCAGACGAGGAGCUUGCUCCUCUGACGUUAGCGGCGGACGGGUGAGUAACACGUGGAUAACCUACCUAUAAGACUGGGAUAACUUCGGGAAACCGGAGCUAAUACCGGAUAAUAUAUUGAACCGCAUGGUUCAAUAGUGAAAGACGGUUUUGCUGUCACUUAUAGAUGGAUCCGCGCCGCAUUAGCUAGUUGGUAAGGUAACGGCUUACCAAGGCGACGAUGCGUAGCCGACCUGAGAGGGUGAUCGGCCACACUGGAACUGAGACACGGUCCAGACUCCUACGGGAGGCAGCAGUAGGGAAUCUUCCGCAAUGGGCGAAAGCCUGACGGAGCAACGCCGCGUGAGUGAUGAAGGUCUUCGGAUCGUAAAACUCUGUUAUUAGGGAAGAACAAAUGUGUAAGUAACUAUGCACGUCUUGACGGUACCUAAUCAGAAAGCCACGGCUAACUACGUG